AACGAACGCUGGCGGCAGGCUUAACACAUGCAAGUCGAACGCCCCGCAAGGGGAGUGGCAGACGGGUGAGUAACGCGUGGGAAUCUACCCAGAUCUUCGGAACAACUGAGGGAAACUUCAGCUAAUACCGGAUACGCCCUACGGGGGAAAGAUUUAUCGGUUCUGGAUGAGCCCGCGUUGGAUUAGCUAGUUGGUGGGGUAAUGGCCUACCAAGGCGACGAUCCAUAGCUGGUCUGAGAGGAUGAUCAGCCACACUGGGACUGAGACACGGCCCAGACUCCUACGGGAGGCAGCAGUGGGGAAUAUUGGACAAUGGGCGAAAGCCUGAUCCAGCCAUGUCGCGUGAGUGAUGAAGGCCUUAGGGUUGUAAAGCUCUUUCAGUGGGGAAGAUAAUGACGGUACCCACAGAAGAAGCCCCGGCUAACUUCGUGCCAGCCGCCGCAGUAA
Molecule: ribosomal RNA, 447 nt
Filed under: uncultured bacterium
Lineage: Bacteria
Description: partial 16S ribosomal RNA
Rfam family: Bacterial small subunit ribosomal RNA
Source: RNAcentral